UACAGAGGGGGCAAGCGUUGUUCGGAUUUACUGGGCGUAAAGGGCGCGUAGGCGGCCGCCUAAGUCAGACGUGAAAUCCCUCGGCUCAACCGGGGAACUGCGUCUGAUACUGGGUGGCUUGAAUCCGGGAGAGGGAUGCGGAAUUCCAGGUGUAGCGGUGAAAUGCGUAGAUAUCUGGAGGAACACCGGUGGCGAAGGCGGCAUCCUGGACCGGCAUUGACGCUGAGGCGCGAAAGCCAGGGGAGCAAACGGG
RNAcentral lists this ribosomal RNA (253 nucleotides) under uncultured bacterium. RNAcentral describes it as "partial 16S ribosomal RNA". It matches the Rfam family "Bacterial small subunit ribosomal RNA", at positions 524 to 776 of the family's 1533-position model. The record is from RNAcentral.